RNAcentral lists this ribosomal RNA (437 nucleotides) under uncultured bacterium. Its description in RNAcentral is "partial 16S ribosomal RNA". It matches the Rfam family "Bacterial small subunit ribosomal RNA", at positions 29 to 507 of the family's 1533-position model. The record is from RNAcentral.
AGCGAACGCUGGCGGCAGGCUUAACACAUGCAAGUCGAGCGGGCAUCCUUGUGGUGUCGGCGGCAGACGGGUGAGUAACGCGUGGGAACGUGCCCUUCGGUUCGGAUUAACUCGGGGAAACUUGAGUUAAUACCGGAUACGUGCGAGAGCAGAAAGGUUUAUCUGCCGAAGGAUCGGCCGGCGUCUGAUUAGCUAGUUGGUGAGGUUAUGGCUCACCAAGGCGACGAUCAGUAGCUGGUCUGAGAGGAUGAUCAGCCACACUGGGACUGAGACACGGCCCAGACUCCUACGGGAAGCAGCAGUGGGGAAUAUUGGACAAUGGGGGCAACCCUGAUCCAGCCAUGCCGCGUGAGUGAUGACGGCCUUAGGGUUGUAAAGCUCUUUUCUCCGGGACGAUAAUGACGGUACCGGAGGAAUAAGCCCCGGCUAACUUCGUG